RNAcentral lists this small nuclear RNA (271 nucleotides) under Jaculus jaculus (lesser Egyptian jerboa). Its description in RNAcentral is "7SK RNA (ENSJJAG00000003780.1)". It matches the Rfam family "7SK RNA". Rfam says of the family: 7SK was discovered as an abundant small nuclear RNA in the mid-70s but a possible function has only recently been suggested. Two independent studies have found that 7SK RNA binds the CDK9/cyclin T complex (known as elongation factor P-TEFb). Lineage: Eukaryota; Metazoa; Chordata; Mammalia; Rodentia; Dipodidae. The record is from Rfam by way of RNAcentral.
AGGCUGAUCUAGCUGCGGCAUCUGUCACCCCAUUGAUCACCAGGGUUGAUUCAGCUGAUCUGGCUGGCUCACCACCCUAUGUGCAUCCCUCCUGAAGCUGCACACUUGGUCCAAGAGGACGACCUUUCCCGAAUAGAGGAGGAUUUCAGUCAAGGGUAUGCAAGUAGCUGUGCUCUUCUGCUAGAACCUCUAGCUCUCAAAAUAAAUGUGUCUAUUUUAUAUAAUGUAGAAAAUGCUGCUAAAUACAGAAAGAAAAAAAAAAGAAUUAUUU